GCUAAAUGUAUAAAAAAAUUGUUGCUAUAUUAAAACUUGUUCAAUGCUUUGGUAACAAAUUAUAUUGUUGCCAAAUCAAAAUUUAACAUUAUUUUUGUGUAUCUGGUCGGCUCAAUGUCCCCAUAGCGAAUAAUGGCAAAAAUACACAAUUAAAAUAUUAUUAACUUAAUAAAAUCAUCUACUACAUAAUCAUUCAUUAUCUUUACAAUUAACCAUCUAAAGCUAUCACAAUUCUUCAAUCAAAGUAUAUACCUACAUAUAUAGAGAGUAAACUUCAUAAUUACGUCCCUUGUCUUCUGUAAACGUAGCACGAAAAUUUGAUACCCAAUAUUGUAAGGUAGGUCGCAGAAGUAAUCUUCCUGCACAUAUUUAAAAAUAAUAGCAAGUCAGAAAAAUGAAGCAAAUAGGUCACCAGAGACACUUAGUGCCAAAAUCAAUACAUGAAGACAACAAUGUUGUUUUAUUUUCUUACUAAUCAAGGGACAUAGAAAAAGGUAAUACCCUUUUUAUUCACUACCAAAUUGUUCUGUUCUUGCAUUAUAUGUUAGCAUGCAGCCCAUAAACAGUAAGCAUGAACCAUUGACCUCACUAGCUUCACCAGCUAUUGUGAUGAAUGGGUACUAGAAUACUUUUUGCCACUCAUCAGGCAUUUUCUGAGUUAUUAGAAACCUAUCUUCGCAAGGAACAGUUACAAGCAGAAAAAAGCACAAAACCUUCUCUAAAUUCGUUUCCCCAAAAAAACCUUCUCAGGUCUCAAAAAGUAGUCAAAUUGUUCCCAAACCUGAAGUCCACUAGCUACAAGCUGCAAAAAAUUGCAUGAUGAAAGUAGAAAGAUUAGAUAGAUGUCAGUUUUAAAUAUAAAAUUCAAAUUACAUAAAAGCUCGGGUUUUAAUUCUAUCACCAACCAUGAUUUAACCACCAUAAAACUAAAUAGUACAUCAAAAGGCUAGUGUAAACAUGUGUUUUAGGGUGACAUGCACAUUGUUGUAAACGAGGUUAAAGUGUUAAACAGUGAAACAAGAAGAUAACCGAGUAAAUUUAAUAGAUAGAAAACGGAAAGUUUGAGACAUCAAAAGUUCCAGCAUUACAUUAUUCAAUCAACAAAUGUGCAGGAACUGAUAUGAAUGGAUGCAACAGACAUUGGGACAACUCCUCUUUAAAAUUCUUGAACGUCGCCAUUUAACAGUUCCUAUAUUCUGCCAUAUGUUUAAGAAAAAGGGAUACAAAGACGAUUUUUGUUAUACAAUAUAAUAAUUAUGCCAUCACAUUUGACUAUAGAUUGGGAAACCAACAGAUCUUAUGAGUUGUAACACUUUGAAAAGCCAGAUUACUCUAGAAGCUUAUAGUCUGUGAAGCAAUGUUACUUAUUAACUUAUCUUAUGAGUUGUUACUCUAGUUGGGUUAUAAUGCGAUACAGUGUGGUAGGCUUCCAUGAAUUGCUUGGACAGAACACAAAACAAUUAUUGGACAGUAGAAAACUAUCUAAAUAGGUACGCAUAUAAUAUGUAAUAUUCAGAUGUGUGUGUGUGCAAGUUCAGCACAUAUGAAGCAUGCUAUUAGUCAUAAAAAUAUUAAAAAUAUCACAAUAAAUGCCUUAGGUAGUAGUAGUUCACACCCCUAAGCAACCAAGUGUUUUCACCCUACCUGGUAGAAAGAAAUUGCUAUACAGCCAUGUUUAAAAGGCUUAGCGCUACUAAAAGGCUUUUUUUAGGUCGUGCAGGUGGAGACAUUUCUUUGUCCCCUUCAAAAGGAAAUGCAAUCUGAAAAUAAAAGACGAGACUAUGAAACAGUAAGUUCGAUUCUAAUCAUUCUUUUCCUUACUAACUCAACAUUUAACAUUCUUAUUUGGUAAUUUUCUUGCUUAAGAGCCUAAUUACAUAAACCUGUUGCCCGCCCAAUUUCUCAUUGACUAUUGUAACCCAAUUCAUUUUAUUUAAAAAUUUUAGCAACUAAAAUCAACUAUCAAGCAUCCAUAAGUACCAAAAUAAAGCUAAUUUCAAUCCCCUUUCUUUUCUUAACAAAACCUAUAGAUGCUCUUCCAUCUUGUUGAACCAGUAAACAGUAACCUCCACACACCAAAUACCAAAUGUAGCCUACACUAUCUUAAGUUUUCUGAAGCUGCCAACCACAAGAAUACCCAUGGACAACAUGCAAAGUGUUAAAUGUUACAUAACAUUAGAUUAAGUGGACUAUGAUACAGAACAAAAUACGUUCAAAAUUUCUAGCCAGUAGAAUCGUUGACUAAAGAAUUUUUAGGCUACAUCAGAGCCUUUUUGAUAUUAUUAAAUAUGAUUAAGACCAGUAGAUCAUCAUAAAGACGUCCAAGAAAAGCCUUGGAUGCAACAUCAGAAAAUUGAUGCUACCAGUGUGCAUAUAUUGUUUCCAAAACUUAAAUGUUGCACUUCAUUAUCUCAACAUGCCUACACAAUAGAUAACUUUUCUCUCUAGUUUAUAUUUUAUGCGUUAACUUUUAAGUUUAAACCAUAAGGCUCACUUUAUACUCCAAAACUCAAUUUUCCAUCUUAUUUAGGCCCACCACAGUUACCUCCUGCUCUUGCUAAUUCAUGAAGAAUGCGAAGGAAAAAUGCUUUUGGCCCAUGUCUCGCGUUCUUCAUUCCACCCAAUAACCAUAAAAUAAACCACAGCUAAAAGCUAAGCAAAAUCUCGGUUCAGUGGUUUAUUUGAAAAAUUAUAUGGUAUAUUACACUCGACCUUUUUUAAAAUUCCAAAUUGAUUUGUGAUAGAACAAAGGUUGUAAGCAAAGGAAAAAAUAAUGGCUCAAUACAUUGUACUGGUUACAGAAUCAAUUUUAAUGCAAUUGAAAAACUUACCGCUGUAUUUUUCUUAGUUCGAUCUAGAGGACUCCCCAACCUCUUUCAAUUGUCUUUGGCUCUUGUCAACUACUGUAUUCUCCAGAUCAACUUUCUCAGUCUAUACAACACAAAAGAAAUUAACAGCUAUUCAGUGAUCAGCACAACUUAGAAACAUAAUAUAGCAAAAUAAUACAUUACAACUACAAUACAUGCACAUAUAAUGAUUAUCAAAGGUUUACAAGUGUAAGUCAAAUGCCAAGGAUUUGACUUCUAUACAGAACAAAUACAGUUAUUAUCGGUGUCACUUAGACUAGGAAUUUCACUCUUAUAGUUGUUGUGCCAUUUUCAUUGCCAAUGUUGCUAACCAAAAACAGCCCAAUUGCUCGAAUCACCUGCAAUUGUUACCAUGAAAAUGCAAUUAUUGUUAUGUUGCCAACACUGAAUCCCUACUGACCUUCCCUCCAAGAUCACCACCACCAAUGCCUUAACUGUAUCUACCAAAGACGCCUCUACCACAACCUUACUAUCACUACCAAUGCUUGCAACAUUGAUGCAUUUUACCAACCUCACCAUCAUUGCUUUUGUUGUCGCCACUAAAACGCCAUCUUUGUUAUAUAUCUCGCAAAUAAUUGAUAUAUGAAUAGGUUGUUCAUCAGUUUUACUAUCAAAAAGACACUUUUAUAUUCUACUAGCACAAUUUGAAAAAAUCGUAUGUCAAAACAAUCGGAGAAAAAACAAUUAAAUACAAAAUACUAAAUUUGUAGUUUGUCCUCUUAGUCUUAUAUAUUGGUUCAUUCUCUAUUUUUAAUCUUUAAGAUAUUAAACCUUUACAGUAACUUCAAUAGUUUUAAUAUUGACAAAAGUCAAAAAACUACGAUUGCAUUGAAGGGUCAGUUUAGAAUGAAGAUAACAGGCAUACUUGAUAGACCCAAGGUAAAUUCAGUUAAUAGACUCAAUUCACCAAAUAAAAUUAAGACAACCAGAAAAGAGGAAAAAAAGAGAUAUAUAUUUGUAUAGGUGAAUGACAAUAAGCCAAUUGGAUAGGAAGCCAUAACCUUCGAAAUCUCAGGUCCCCUGGCCCACCAAAAAAAAUAGCCAAAAAAUUCAUGUCACUUCAAGACAACAUAUAGGAGUUGUGUUCUCUGCUGAGUUUACAAUGUUGUAUCUUAUAGUAAAGAUCUUUAAAAACAAUGCAAUUUCCUUUUUAAAUAGAACUCGGGCUACGUAGCCAACCAUCAGACUAUUAAAAUCAAAUACUUUAGGUAGAAAAGGUUCCAAUGCAAACUCACAGUACAUAUAAACUUUGGCAAAGAAAGUAAUCUUUAUUUUUAGCAAAACAUUGAGUCGAACUAGUAUAAUAGACUAUAUUUUAGUACAGUUAAAUCCAUGAUUAAAAUAAAGAAAAAUUCUGACUAUUAUCUUUCUUGCAAACUUGCAAUACUCUUGAACAUAUCAAUAAUCACAACACUGUUAUGUGGCGUCGUCUCACGAACACAUAUAUACUUCUCCGAUUUCAUUGUAACAUUCCUAAACGUGAUAAAUUGUGGGUUGAUCCCUAUGCUUGGCAACUGUAACAACAUCACAAUUUUUAUUUAAAACACUGUACAACCACUAAGUCAAAAAAAAUUGCCCACCCAGAACACAUAAUUUAGAUGCCAUAUUCAUAAACUCGACUUUUGUAACUCCACAGAUAAACUACAUCUAUAUUACAGAUCUAAAUGUAAUUACACAUAACAAAUCUGUAAGUUCUUUUAGGGCAGAUAUUAACAUAUAGAAACACUUGUACUACAAUAAAUCGCACAGAUCAAAAGGUGAAAGAAAACAACAACAAAGAUUUGAAUUUCAGAUGAUUUCAAACUGUUUUCUAUCAGUUCAUUCAAAUAAUCAUGCAAAUUCAGCUAAAAUUAAAAAAAAAAUGAGUAUGACUCGGAAAGAAAUGCGAAAAGUAAUUUACCGUUAGGGUCUCCUUCAUGGUGAUCGGAGCGUUAGCGGCCACCAUGGUGGCGAGAUAAAAAAGUUGAGAUCAGGAGUCCAAUCUGUGAGUGGAUGUGAUGAUGAAUAACCAAUUGAGAUUCAACUCAAGUGGCUACGAGAUCUGACAAACCCUCGCACCUUAUUCGAGAGAGAUAGUGAGAGAUCUGGUGAGAGACUAUGAUGGUGGGUAUUUUUUUAAGUGAUA
Molecule: long non-coding RNA, 4992 nt
Filed under: Panax ginseng (ginseng)
Lineage: Eukaryota; Viridiplantae; Streptophyta; Magnoliopsida; Apiales; Araliaceae
Description: long non-coding RNA (PGIN_LNC001675)
Source: RNAcentral